AAUGAACGCUGGCGGUAGGCCUAACACAUGCAAGUCGAACGGCCGCACAGUAAGAGCUUGCUCUUACGGGUGGCGAGUGGCGGACGGGUGAGGAAUACAUCGGAAUCUACUUUUUCGCGGGGGAUAACGUAGGGAAACUUACGCUAAUACCGCAUACGACCUACGGGUGAAAGCAGGGGAUCUUCGGACCUUGCGCGAUUGAAUGAGCCGAUGUCGGAUUAGCUAGUUGGCGUGGUAAAGGCUCACCAAGGCGACGAUCCGUAGCUGGUCUGAGAGGAUGAUCAGGCAGACUGGCACUGAGACACGGUCCCGACACCUACGGGGGGAAGCGGUGGGGACUCUUGGACGAUGGGGGAAUGGCUGAUCCAGCCAUACCGCGUAGGUGAAGAAGGACUUCGGGUUGUAGAACCCUUUUGUUCGGAAAGUAAAGCAGCACUUUAAUACCCCGCUGUUAUGACGGUACCCAAAGAAUAAGCACCGGCUAACUUCGUG
RNAcentral lists this ribosomal RNA (492 nucleotides) under uncultured bacterium. RNAcentral describes it as "partial 16S ribosomal RNA". It matches the Rfam family "Bacterial small subunit ribosomal RNA", at positions 29 to 507 of the family's 1533-position model. The record is from RNAcentral.